Molecule: ribosomal RNA, 394 nt
Filed under: uncultured bacterium
Lineage: Bacteria
Description: partial 16S ribosomal RNA
Rfam family: Bacterial small subunit ribosomal RNA
Source: RNAcentral
UGGGGAAUAUUGGACAAUGGGGGGCAACCCUGAUCCAGCAAUGCCGCGUGUGUGAAGAAGGUUUUCGGAUUGUAAAGCACUUUCGACGGGGACGAUGAUGACGGUACCCGUAGAAGAAGCCCCGGCUAACUUCGUGCCAGCAGCCGCGGUAAUACGAAGGGGGCUAGCGUUGCUCGGAAUGACUGGGCGUAAAGGGCGUGUAGGCGGUUUGUACAGUCAGAUGUGAAAUCCCCGGGCUUAACCUGGGAGCUGCAUUUGAUACGUGCAGACUAGAGUGUGAGAGAGGGUUGUGAAAUUCCCAGUGUAGAGGUGAAAUUCGUAGAUAUUGGGAAGAACACCGGUGGCGAAGGCGGCAACCUGGCUCAUAACUGACGCUGAGGCGCGAAAGCGUGGG